RNAcentral lists this ribosomal RNA (793 nucleotides) under uncultured bacterium. RNAcentral's name for it is "bacterial SSU rRNA". It matches the Rfam family "Bacterial small subunit ribosomal RNA", at positions 8 to 796 of the family's 1533-position model. The record is from RNAcentral.
AGAGUUUGAUCAUGGCUCAGAUUGAACGCUGGCGGCAUGCCUUACACAUGCAAGUCGAGCGGCAGCGCGGGGGCAACCCUGGCGGCGAGCGGCGCACGGGUGAGUAAUGCAUCGGAACGUGUCCUCCUGUGGGGGAUAACCAGUCGAAAGACUGGCUAAUACCGCAUGAGCACGAGAGUGGAAAGCGGGGGACCGUAAGGCCUCGCGCGAGAGGAGCGGCCGAUGCCGGAUUAGCUAGUUGGUGGGGUAACGGCCCACCAAGGCGACGAUCCGUAGCUGGUUUGAGAGAACGACCAGCCACACUGGGACUGAGACACGGCCCAGACUCCUACGGGAGGCAGCAGUGGGGAAUUUUGGACAAUGGGGGCAACCCUGAUCCAGCCAUGCCGCGUGAGUGAAGAAGGCCUUCGGGUUGUAAAGCUCUUUCGGCCGGAACGAAAUCGCGCGCAUGAAUAAUGCGCGUGGAUGACGGUACCGGAAGAAGAAGCACCGGCUAACUACGUGCCAGCAGCCGCGGUAAUACGUAGGGUGCGAGCGUUAAUCGGAAUUACUGGGCGUAAAGUGUGCGCAGGCCGCCGAGCAAGUCGAGUGUGAAAGCCCCGAGCUUAACUUGGGAACUGCGCUCGAAACUACUUGGCUAGAGUGUGGCAGAGAGAGGUGGAAUUCCACGUGUAGCGGUGAAAUGCGUAGAGAUGUGGAGGAACACCGAUGGCGAAGGCAGCCUCCUGGGCCAACACUGACGCUCAUGCACGAAAGCGUGGGGAGCAAACAGGAUUAGAUACCCUAGUAGUCC